Molecule: long non-coding RNA, 1497 nt
Organism: Mizuhopecten yessoensis (Yesso scallop)
Lineage: Eukaryota; Metazoa; Mollusca; Bivalvia; Pectinida; Pectinidae
Exons: 2
Source: RefSeq, a predicted model, not a curated record
GGUAACACACCUUCCUCUCGUCUGUAGUGGUGUCACACCAGGCUCCUGUAGGUAAGACACCUUCCUAUAGUCUUUAGUGGGGUCACACCAGGCUCCUGUAGGUAAUACACCUUCCUAUAGUCUGUAGAGGUGUCACACCACGCUCCUGUAGGUAACAUAUUGUCCCUCCACCAUCUGUUUGGAGACCAGAACCUUGCUGUUACCAUGACACAUAUGAUACAUAUAGUAGAUGUUGUGCACUUUCAAAAUGCCCUGAACAGCAGCGUUUGAAGCUUCAGAAAAGAUAAUAGCCCUGUUUAGUAAUCUUUUGAGGUAAGCACCCCAAAAAAAAAAAAAAAAUACAGCUGCUAAUUUUCAUAAUAAAAACCAGUGGAAGCCAAUUAAAUGUAGUGUUUCCUGUACUUGAACAUUUUCUAUUCAGAUGAAAUUGUUUACGCAUAAUGACAGAAACAAGUUUUGUAUUUUUUUGUAAUUUAUUUAUUAUUCUGGAGAAAAAAUGAAUUGUGGCUUAGCUGGUGUAGGAAACAGAGUUUUUGUCAGGAAGGGGGUAAUACUUGAUGUGGAUGACAAGUAGUGUUUAUUUCUGAUUGAUGUAAAUAUAGAUGUUAACAAUAUUAUAUAGUGAGAUACCCCAGAGAUUUGCUAUCUUUGUAUUGUGAUGUGUACUGCGGUAUUACAAACCCGGUAUAAGUAUUAGUGCUGAGGGACGUUCUGGUCAGACAGGUGUUUAUGGCAGCCUCUAAUGUAUUUCAUAAAAUAUUUCAACUUCCUGUAUGGUCAUGGUCUCAUCUCGAAGGUGAUAGUCAAAUAUUUUAAGUAAAAUGAUACCUUGAACAUUGAAUCUAUAUAUACAAUUCUGGAACAAAUGUACUGCAGAAACGAAUGUGAAUUACGCCUUUACAAUAUUAGUGCUGGGAAACUCUACAGGUAAAUGUAACAAGGUUAAAAACCUAGAGAGAAAAAAACAUGAAUAAACAAAACGAAUACUGGAAUAAUAAGGUGAAACCUUUCUGACAUGGUAGAGAACCGAACCUGAUGUUAGACUACUGCCAUAAGAUUUGAUGGGUGACCAGACUUUCUUUCAGAAGUGCAAGUAGUCUGCAAUAUAUUUAUAUACCUGUGAUGUGGCCUAGGUGUAGUGCUGUAAUCAUGUAACAUCAUUAAGCAGGACACUGAUCAGUUGGUCAGUCCUGUGCUAUUACUCGGGACAGGUCGGUUUGUUGGUCCUGUGUCAUAACUUGGGAUGCUGGUCAGUCUGAUGGUCCUGUGUCAUUAUUCGGGACUGGUCAGUUGGUCAGUCCUGUGUCAUUAUUCGGGAAUGGUCAGUCGGUUAGUCUUGUGUCAUUACUUUGGACUGGUCAGUUGGUCAGUACUGUGUCAUUGCUUGGGAUGCUGGUCAGUUGACCGGUCCUGUGUCAUUACUCAUUGAUGAUUUGCCUAAUUCUAAUGAAACAUUAAUCCACCCAAUUGGGCGGAAAUAAAGUAUAUGUAAAAUUG